Cyprinodon tularosa is the source of this 853-nucleotide long non-coding RNA. RefSeq lists it as uncharacterized. NCBI's taxonomy places the organism in Eukaryota, Metazoa, Chordata, Actinopteri, Cyprinodontiformes, Cyprinodontidae. The transcript has 3 exons. The record is from RefSeq and is a predicted model, not a curated record.
CAAACCUGUGGUUGAUGUGUGCUUUUGAGUCUCGACAGACCACACAGACAGACUGCUGGUGAUCCAGGCAGAACAGUUUGAGUUUCUCGGCGUGCAGACUGCAGAGAUGCUUUGGUUUUUCCUCCUGUUGAAUAGCUUCACAUAGCUUCUUUAGCGUUAGGCUCACAGGGGGGUUAGUCAGAGGCAUCUCCUUACAAAGGGGACACUCCUUUAUUUGCUUUUCCCUCCACCAUGAGUGAACGCAUGCUUGGCAGAAGCUGUGACUGCACGACAGGACAACGGGAUCCCUGAAGAUGUCGUGGCAGAUGGGACAGGACCAAGACCAGCUUUAAACUACACAGGCUGACUUAUUCCAUACCAAAAAGGUCAAAAUGGAUUAAAAAGUGAUCCACGACUGCAGAAAAGCAGCACACUGGUUGGAAGAAAACCAAAGUCUCUUCAGCGGCAAGGUGGAUUUGCCUGACAUUUUGAUGAUGGGGAUGGGAAUGUGGCUGAAGCAGUCAAGCUAUUCAAACAAAUGUGUGAAGUAGAUGACUUCACCAUUGAUGAGCAUGAGAGGGAGAUGGUUUUAGAACCUUUCAAGUUUGUUUUUCAAAAAAAGAUUGAAGACAUGUGGCAGUUUUUGGAGGAGCUGGCCGAUCGGCAGAAUCUUCUCCUGUACUGUGAGUGUAGAUUGUGAAUAAAGGAAUUAAAGAUGUAAGGAUGAAUGAUUAUUUGUGUUUAUAUAAUUCUCUGUUUAUAACAUGACAUGUACAUUUAUGUGUUUCACACCUGCAGCUGUGCUAUAAGUUAAAAUAAGUUGUGGCUGAAUAUGGGGAGAAAUAUGGCUAUUAAUAAUGGAAAAGAUAAGUUA